GAACUUCGUUCCUUCUUGUAGAUGUAACCAUCAUGACUUCUGUGCAUUUUUGUCAGAAAUUGAAUAUUAUGACUCAUUCUAUCAAAUAGAAGUGUGAUGGUCUAGCAGUCAUAAAAUUUUAUUUCAAUUUUUUGAGCUCAAGGCUGACGUUGAACUGUUUCUGAAAAAUACACUAAGCCCUGUUAUUGAACACUGGAUGGCUUUGGAAAUUUGCUUUUGCUGCAAAAUUGAUAAAUUUCUGUGUUCAACUUAGAAGCUCCACAUAUAAGGUAAAACUGUGCUUACAUAUGGAAUUUAUAAGUUCUACCAUGGAACUUAAAGUCAUUUCAAUGACAAUGUUUAUCACAAAUAAUUUCAAGCUACUUUAUAUGCUUCCUAUGCUGUCAAUAGUUAAGUAGUGAGCUCCUCAUUCCCACACAGAUUUUCAGUUGAUAUAUUUUCCAAGCUCAGACUAUAGUAUCAACCUAAUUUUUCAGACUUUGAAGCAAGUACAAAAGACAUAUACAUAUUUCAAAAUUUAUUUAACUGUGUAAUUGAAGAGUUAAUAUCCAACUUUCAUCUGCAAUGUAUGAUGUAUAACAUGCUAAAAGGCAAAUGUCUAGAGAAGUCUCAAACUCAAUUCUAUAAGUAUCCUCUAAGUGAUGAAUAUCAUCAAUUAAAAACAUUCUCAUUGUUUGAUAUCAGUACGUAUUUGUAUUUCCUAUCUGUGCAAAAAUAUAUUACUAAAAUGAAAUACAUAAAAUCAUAUUACAGAUCAGCAUUAACAACAGGACAUUUGCAAUUGAUUUGGAUCAUUUGGAAUACUAACUUUGAAUCCCAAUUGAGUGAAAUAUUUUCCCCCCAAAGAGAAUUCCAUUAUUCUCAUCAGUAGACCUGUAUUAUUACAUUCAAUUAUUUGAAUUUUAUCAAUAAGGGUUUUGUAGAAAUUUGUUUUUUAUUGUUCUGUUAGCACUACACAUUAUCCUUAAUUUUGCCUUUUGACUUACAAAGCCUUAUUUACUGUCUGGCACUUUACAGGAAAAAAAGCUUGCCAACCCUUGAUUUAGGCCAGUAAAAAAUACCAGUUGAGACUUAUUUGAAAUCUUUACAUUGUAUUGAUUUUCUUCUUUGAAUGAACAAGAGAAAUUUAUUUCUCUUUAGCUUGAAAAUAUCCAGUUUACUGUUGCCUCUUUCUGGCUAAAAGAAUGUUUUUUUGCCUUUGAAUAUAAAUUGUUAUUUACGACUUUAGAAUGUACUUAUAUAUGGUUAAUUUCAACAACUACCUUUAUCAUCAGCUCUGAAUGUCAGAACUUUCUCUUUGUGAAAUUUUAUCCUAGUCAUGUAAGCAUUAGCUGUAGCAGAGGUUAUGCUAGCAGAAGUAGAGUAAGUUUGGAGGAGGAGUAUAAAUGCUUCCUCUUCUCUUGCUAUGCAGCCUAUCGAUUGCCCUUAAUUAUUUCUACAUAGUUUGGCAAUGAGCUAUACUGCUAGAAAAGCCUUCUCUCUACCUAGACUUUUGACUCUGAUAUUAGAAACUACCAGGAACCUUGCUCAGAAAUGUGAUUAUUCAUUCCAUAGGUGGCAGAUCAGGCUCAAGUAUAUCUACAGGAUUUUAAUACUGUAAUGUGUAGCCCCAUUAUUGAGUCGAUUACAGCUAGAAGAACUGAUUUGAAUGCCCGCAGAGCUUUGCCAGAAUUCAACGUUAGCUUUUGGCUAGACUCCAGGAGCCAGUGGUGUACUUUGGCCAUCUGUUCUGCUUCCUCACCUUCAGUUCUUCCCAAACUGUGGGGCAACAAUUUGGUGCAUUUUGAUUAAUGAUAGGUUUAGCAAUGGGUGAUGGCUUAGUCUUUCAGGUAGCUAAAUGUGACAAGAUAAGUAGAGCUCAACUUUAAUAAGCUUCUGAAUACUCUGAGAUUCGAGUGAUGAAGAGAAUGUGAAAUCACAUAAGGAACAAAGUUCAGAAGGAGCUAACAUGUAUAGAGCAGUAGGCAUGGUGUGAGGUGCUUUAUGUGUAUCAUUUUAUUAUAGCAAAAAAUCCAGGGGGAAGUUGCUACCAUGCUUAUUUUAUAGGUGGAACUCAGAGUUCAAGUAAUUACAGUAGCAGGUAGUAUGUUAAAAGCCAAGUCCAUCUGUCUUCAAUACUUGUAUUCUUAUGAUAUAGUUGACACAAGUAGAGACUAUAGCAAAAGUAGAAGCAGCUAAUAAUAAAAUAGUAGUUUGGGUCACCUCUGACUUUAGUGUCAUCAUAUUGUGUUUUACUGGGGAGCCAAUUAUUUGGUUCAGACUUAUUUUCUGGGAAUGGAAACUGCAGAGAUAUUCUGAUAACCUACUUUGGUUGUAGUAAGUUCUAGAAAGAUGCUCUCUUGACUUUGUGUUAGCAGAAACAAACAAGGGCACUUUUGUGUGUAUGGGACCAAAUUAAAAAUUUAAAGUUUAUUUAAAUACUUUUAUAAAUGUGAUUUAUGGCAGAGAAGACUUUAAGACUCUCCAUGGACCUAAGAACAAGCAGUAAGAAAGGAGAAGUAUUAAUGCAGAGUAUAGAAACGGUGAAAUAAUCUUAAGAUGUACAUUGGUCACUGUAUCAGUCCAUUCUUGCAUUGCUGUAAAGGAAUACCUGAGACUAGGUAAUUUAUAAAGAAAAGCAGGUUAAUUUAAUUAACCUCAUGGUUCCUCAGGCUGUACAGGAAGCAUGAUGCUGACGUCUGCUCGGUUUCUGGGGAGACCUUUCAAUCAUGGUGGAAGGUGAGGGGGAAGCAGGCACAUCUUGCAUGGCCAGAGCAAGAGCAAGAGACACUGAAGGGGGAGGUGCUAUACGCUUUUAAAUAGCUAGAUCUUGCAAAAACUCACUAACCAUCAUGAGAACAGCACCAGGAAGUGGUGCUAAACUAUUCAUGAGAGCUCUGCCCCUAUGAUCCAAUCACCUCCCACCAGGUCCCACCCUCCAACACUGGGGAUCACAAUUCGAUGUGAGAUUUAGGUUGGGACAUAGAUCCAAAACAUAUCAGUCACACUUUGAAUAAUGUCUAUUUUUGGAUUGUAAAUUUAAAAAUGACAAGAACUAUAACAAAGGAAAACUGCAACACUUGACAAUAGGUUGUAAAACAAAAACCAAACUCACAACUGAUAAAUUAAUUCUCUGAUCUAUUCAUUGAACUUUUAAUUCACUAUAUGGCAGCAUAUUUGCCAGGCACUGGGGAUACAUAGAUGAAGAAGACAUGGUUUUUGUCCUAAUCUCUAUUAAGUCUCAGUUUCUCACCCAUAAAAUCAUAAUACUUAGCUCAACUUAUUUUGCGUGUGUGUGAGGUUUAAAUAAGAAAAUACAUUAAAUUCAUAUAAAGCACUUGGCUACAUAGUUAGGAGCUCAACUAACACAAUGGUAAAGGAGACAGAAAUUAACAGUGAUUAUAUUGUAAUUGAGGUUUCUACAAAUGCUAUAUGGUUAACGCCUGAGAGCAAAUGGCAUUGAAUCCUGAAGAAACCUGAAUGAAAUUAGAAAAAUGUGAUUUUUGGAAUUGAAAACUUAGAAUAGUUCAAAAUGUAUCUCACUAAACACAUACUUUAUUCAGAGAUAUUGUUAAGGAUAUGACAGUUUUAGUAAGAUCUAAUGUAUUUGUCAAAGAGUAGUUCUUCAAUCCUUCUGUUCUACCAGGACAGCAAUUUGAGACCUUGAGAUUUGGGUUCUAAGCCUGGUUUUUAAGCAUCUAACCUUUAGCAAAUUCAUUUUUUUUUGCCUCAGCCUCCUUAUAUAAAAUGAGGAUAAUAGUACUUCCUUCAUAGGGUAGUACUUACCAUGUCUGGCUUUACCAAGCCAGAUCACUGGCUUUACCAAGUGAUCAGUGAAGGGAAAUUAUAAUAAUGGUUUUUAAUAAUGUAGUAAUAUUAAGUAGUCAGGUAGUAUUCCCUGACUGCUGCUUGAUUAUAGUCUUUGCCAUGGUCUUUUGCUUUAAUCUUUCCAACUAAGGGGAAAAUGGAAAGGUUAGUUUUCUAUGGCAUAUUUUUUUUUUCUGCCAAAUGAGAAUGGGAGAUGUUUACCAAUAUACAGUAAUCCUGUGCCUCUCUGGAGGGCCAUGUGAUACAUUUUGGUUACCUGCAAAAAAAGAUAACUUUCUGAAUUUUCUGGCCAACACAGUUAAUUUCUGUUUUAUUGACAAUAUAUGGAAUAUGUUUACUGUAGUAUGAGAUAUUUAGGAUAAACAUUAGAAAGAAUUUCCUGAUAUGAUCCUAGAAUUGAUAUAAAAUCUCUCCUAUGGUCUUUAAAAUGGCAUAUAUGUAUACAUAUAUGGCAUAGUUAGGCUUUGACCUAUUUGAU
Molecule: long non-coding RNA, 4285 nt
Filed under: Homo sapiens (human)
Lineage: Eukaryota; Metazoa; Chordata; Mammalia; Primates; Hominidae
Description: non-protein coding lnc-DCAF13-2:1
Source: RNAcentral